This 253-nucleotide ribosomal RNA is filed under the name uncultured bacterium. Its description in RNAcentral is "partial 16S ribosomal RNA". It matches the Rfam family "Bacterial small subunit ribosomal RNA", at positions 524 to 776 of the family's 1533-position model. The record is from RNAcentral.
GACGUAGGAGGCGAGCGUUGUCCGGAGUUACUGGGCGUAAAGCGCGCGCAGGCGGCCCUGCGCGCUGCCGGUGAAAGCUCCCGGCUCACCUGGGAAAGGUUCGGCAGGACGGCAGGGCUGGAGGGCGGUAGAGGGUGGUGGAAUUCCCGGUGUAGUGGUGAAAUGCGUAGAGAUCGGGAGGAACACCCGUAGCGAAGGCGGCCACCUGGGCCGACCCUGACGCUGAGGCGCGAAGGCCAGGGGAGCGAACGGG